AAAAGUAAAAAAAAUAUCUAAAUGUACAUUGAAAACCCCAACAUACCGAGAGAAAAGAAGACGAUGAUUAUGUAUAAAAAUCGAUCUAAAACACGCAACUUCAGUUAAUAUUCUCGGGUCAGGCGCAUGUGGAGAAGUUGACUUUUCAUCAAACAAACACCAAUUUCUUAGAUUUAGACAAAUCUCAAUCUCAUACUUAAACCAGGUUAGUUUUCCUGAUGCUAUGUCAAACUCGUUUAUAUACUCAACUUCUAGGGGUUGAGUACAAUUAGGCUUUUUCAAUGUGGACAAUUGGAAAGUUGAACUCUGAAAUUGGUUGGAGCCCUAAUUGAAAGGGACUCUCCAAAAAUAGGCGUAUGCCACUUAAUGCAGCGAACACACGGUAUUCUUUAGUAAAAGGCGAAAGAAUAGUUCGCUUUGUGUUCACUGCGUAGCUGCGUGCCUUCUCACAUCCCAGCUGCUUGGUUUAUGUAAUGAGUUUGAUACCUUCUGUUUCAUUCAAGUAGCCGAUGUGGGAUGAGCCCCAUACUUGCAUCCCUCUGUUUUCAGAUUUCAGCAUUUCAUACUAUUCAAAACAAGAUGAUUCGUGAUCUUUUUGACGUUUAUUUCAACCAACAUGAGUUCCUUUCUUGUACUUGGAACUAUUGAAGAUUUGAACACUGAAAAUUGGUUGGAGCCCACCAAUGAAGGAAGGGACUCUCCAAAAAUAGGCUUAUGCCACUGUGUAUGGCAAGCACACGGUAUUCUUUAGUAAAAGGCGAAAGAAUAGUUCGCUUUGUGCUUACCACAUGGCUGCGUGCCUUUCCUUCUCUCAGCUGCUUGCUUUAAGUAACGACUCUCACACCUUCUCUCUCAUUCCAGCAGCCGAUGUGGGAUGACCCUUAAACCUGCAUCCCUCUCUUUCAAACCCUACUUCCACUUUUCUCUUCUUUCCCUCUUUACUUACCAGAUGAUCAGUAACACCUUUUUUUACUUUAUCUCAAACAACAUGAGUUCCUUUCUUCUACUUCUCAAGUUAGUGUAUUGAUAAAAAUGUGAAUCAAGGAGGUUAGAUACUUAUCAAUUCAUACAGUAGGGAGUUGCUUGGGCACAAAAAUGUGUUUUUGAGCUCCCCAAGCACUAAUGGUUGGCUCAAUUUUACAAGGUUUUCUGGGAAGAUUAUUACUGCACUAGGCGAAUGCCCGUGCGUUGCGCAGAAACACCUAUAUAGUUGAAGUCUUUACAAAUAUAUCAUUUUUUGUAUAUAACAAUAACGUUGUUGUUAAAUUUGAUAUAAUAAUUUGUAUAUGCUAAAUUGAUAUAAUAUAUUGAUUAUUUUGAAUUA
Lactuca sativa (garden lettuce) is the source of this 1324-nucleotide long non-coding RNA. RefSeq lists it as uncharacterized. The record is from RefSeq and is a predicted model, not a curated record. Lineage: Eukaryota; Viridiplantae; Streptophyta; Magnoliopsida; Asterales; Asteraceae.